RNAcentral lists this ribosomal RNA (253 nucleotides) under uncultured bacterium. RNAcentral describes it as "partial 16S ribosomal RNA". It matches the Rfam family "Bacterial small subunit ribosomal RNA", at positions 524 to 776 of the family's 1533-position model. The record is from RNAcentral.
UACGUAGGGGGCAAGCGUUGUCCGGAAUCAUUGGGCGUAAAGAGCGUGUAGGCGGUCCGAUAAGUCCGCUCUGAAAGCCCGGGGCUCAACCCCGGGAGGCGGGCGGAUACUGUCGGGCUAGAGUCCGGAAGAGGCAAGUGGAAUUCCUGGUGUAGCGGUGAAAUGCGCAGAUAUCAGGAGGAACACCGGUGGCGAAGGCGGAUCUCUGGGCCUGUCCUGACGCUCAGGCGCGAAAGCUAGGGGAGCAAACAGG